Molecule: ribosomal RNA, 380 nt
Filed under: Chloroflexaceae bacterium enrichment culture clone ENRICH_MudF
Lineage: Bacteria; Bacillati; Chloroflexota; Chloroflexia; Chloroflexales; Chloroflexaceae
Description: bacterial SSU rRNA
Rfam family: Bacterial small subunit ribosomal RNA
Source: RNAcentral
UGUGGUUUAAUUCGACGCAACGCGAAGAACCUUACCCAGGUUUGACAUGCCACUGCAAACUGGUGAAAGCCAGCUCCUUCGAGGGUGUGGCACAGGUGCUGCAUGGUUGUCGUCAGCUCGUGUCGUGAGAUGUUGGGUUAAGUCCCGCAACGAGCGCAACCCCUGCCGCCAGUUACAUGUGUCUGGCGGGACUGCCGGUGUUUCACCGGAGGAAGGCGGGGAUGACGUCAAAUCCGCAUGGCCCUUACGCCUGGGGCGACACACACGCUACAAUGGCCAGGACAGUGCGACGCGACCUCGCAAGGGGGAGCAAAUCGACAAACCUGGUCCCAGUUCAGAUCGAGGGCUGCAACCCGCCCUCGUGAAGGUGGAGUUGCUAG